Molecule: long non-coding RNA, 1515 nt
Filed under: Canis lupus familiaris (dog)
Lineage: Eukaryota; Metazoa; Chordata; Mammalia; Carnivora; Canidae
Description: lncRNA (ENSCAFG00030017881.1)
Source: RNAcentral
UCAGCCCUGAGAAUUCUAGAUUUAGUUGAAUACAUGCUGCAUUCUGAGAGUUUUUGUGAUCUUUUCUGAAAUCUACCAACUGACAGUUCCCUUUCAUCACUACAAUAUGGUUGUGGGAUUGGUCAGUUAGGAGACCUGAUGAAAGCCUCUGUUGGCAGUGUUAACCCAUAGUAACAUUUUAGCAUGAAGAAUUUAUACCAAGAUCUCUACAAUACUAUAGUCAAGCAUAACAACAUGUAUACUCAAUUGAAUGAUACACAUUACUAUGUCAGACUAUGUACUUGUCAAUAAACAGUUUUAAUGGUGAAUGAGAAAUAAGCUCUAAAGUGAACAGAAAACCAUUGAAUAAAUUCAGCAUUUGGGUGGUUGAUGAUAGCUCUCAUUAACCUGUAUUUCAGAGGCAAAGACUCUUUUAUAAGACUUAAUUUUUGUUUUUCUCCGAAGUACGAAUGCUGGACAUGUACUAGUAUCUUAGAAAAAAAAAAAAAUCAAAUCUAUAACCCACCCAAUACCAUUCUAAAGCUCUUGCUAUGUGUCGGGCUUUCUUCUAAAUAUGUUAGAUGUAUUAUCUCAGUUAAUCCUCACAACACUCAGCGAAGUAGAUAUAAUUAUAACCAUAUAAUUAAUUUCUGGUGUGUAACACAGUAAUUCAACAAUUAUAUGCAUUAUAAAAUGCUCACCAUAGUAAGUGUUAGUUACCAUCUAUCACCAUUACAAUUUUAUCGACUAUAUUCCCUAUGCUGUACUUUUCAUCCCUAUGGCUUUUUAUUUUACAACUAGAAGUUUGUAUCUCUCAAUCCCUUUCACCUAUUUUACUUAUCCCCCCUCUGGCUGAAUGACAAGACUUCAUUGACUAAUAUUUCAUUGUACAGGUAUAUGUCACACCUUCUUAAUCCAUUCAUCUAUCAAAGGACACUUGGGUUGCUUCCAUAUUUUGGUGUUGUAAAUAAUUCUGCAAUAAACAUUGGAGUGCAUAUGUCUUUUUGAGUUAGUGUUUCUGAGGUGUUUUGGGUAAAUGCCUACUAUAAUUGCUGGCUUAUAUGGUAUUUCUAUUUUUAAUUAUCUGAGGGACCUCCAUAGUGCUUUCCACAUGGCUAUACCAAUUUAUACUCUAAGACAUUUGUUACUUUUUGUCUUUUUGAUACCAGUCAUUCUGACUGGUAUGAGGUGAAACCUCACCAUAGUUUUGAUUUGCAUUUCCCUGAUGAAUGCUAAUAUUGAACAUCUCUUCAUGAGUCUGUUGGCCAUCUGUAUGUCUUCUUUGAAAGAGUGUCUCUUCAGGUCUUCUGCCAAUUUCUUAAUCGGAUUAUUUUGCUUUUGAUGUUGAGUUGUAGGAGUUCUUUAUAUAUUUUGGAUAUUAACCCCCUAUUGGAUAUAUCAUUUUCAAAUAUCUUCUUUCAUUCAGUAGGUUGCUUUUUCAUUUUAUUGAUGCUUUCCUUUGCUGUGCAGAAGCUUUUUAGUUUGGUAUAGUCCCAAGUGUUUAUCUCUCCUUUGGUUUUCCUUGCCCAGAGAAAU